GCUUGUCUCAAAGAUUAAGCCAUGCACGUCUAAGUAUAAGCGAUUAUACUGUGAAACUGCGAAUGGCUCAUUAUAUCAGUUAUAGUUUAUUUGAUGGUCCUUGCUACUUGGAUAACUGUAGUAAUUCUAGAGCUAAUACAUGCGUAAAGUCCCGACUCUUGCGGGGAGGGAUGUAUUUAUUAGAUAAAAAACCAAUGCGGCCUCUGGUCGGUAUUGUGGUGAAUCAUAGUAACUUUUCGAAUCGCAUGGCUUCACGCCGGCGAUAGUUCAUUCAAAUUUCUGCCCUAUCAGCUUUCGACGGUAGUGUAGUGGACUACCGUGGCGUUAACGGGUAACGGAGAAUUAGGGUUCGAUUCCGGAGAGGGAGCCUGAGAAACGGCUACCACAUCCAAGGAAGGCAGCAGG
This 405-nucleotide ribosomal RNA is filed under the name uncultured Protaspa. Its description in RNAcentral is "partial small subunit ribosomal RNA". It matches the Rfam family "Eukaryotic small subunit ribosomal RNA", at positions 30 to 432 of the family's 1831-position model. Lineage: Eukaryota; Cercozoa; Thecofilosea; Cryomonadida. The record is from RNAcentral.